RNAcentral lists this ribosomal RNA (498 nucleotides) under uncultured bacterium. RNAcentral's name for it is "partial 16S ribosomal RNA". It matches the Rfam family "Bacterial small subunit ribosomal RNA", at positions 28 to 507 of the family's 1533-position model. The record is from RNAcentral.
GACGGACGCUGGCGGCGUGCCUAAUACAUGCAAGUCGAACGAGAGCGACCGGUGCUUGCACUGGUCAAUCUAGUGGCGAACGGGUGAGUAACACGUGGGUAACCUGCCCAUCAGAGGGGGAUAACAUCCGGAAACGGAUGCUAAAACCGCAUAGGUCUUCGAACCGCAUGGUUUGAAGAGGAAAAGAGGCGCAAGCUUCUGCUGAUGGAUGGACCCGCGGUGCAUUAGCUAGUUGGUGAGGUAACGGCUCACCAAGGCCGUGAUGCAUAGCCGACCUGAGAGGGUGAUCGGCCACAUUGGGACUGAGACACGGCCCAAACUCCUACGGGAGGCAGCAGUAGGGAAUCUUCCGCAAUGGACGCAAGUCUGACGGAGCAACGCCGCGUGAGUGAAGAAGGUUUUCGGAUCGUAAAACUCUGUUGUUAGAGAAGAACAAGUGCUAGAGUAACUGUUAGCGCCUUGACGGUAUCUAACCAGAAAGCCACGGCUAACUACGUG